GGACCAGAAGGGGUGGAGUCUGGCUGCACCUCUCUUAGACCCCAUUUAAGGUCUGACUGCCACUAGAGGAGGUGAAGCUUUUUCCUGUGAGCUUGGGAUCUUCUUGUAUGGAGAAACAACCUCGUGGUGUGGAAGAUCAGGCGCAUGCUGGCUGCCUGAUGAUGGAGAUGAGAUCAGAGCAACAGGCUGGAGGAGCUGCCUCACACUGUGCUGCAUCCAUCUGACUUGAGGUGCCUGAAACAAAACUUCAUUGCUGAGCUACAGAGAUUAAGGGAAGGGAUUUCAUUUGCUUGCUGCAGUUUGAUGCAGCAUCCUCAAGGGCCCCAGAACCUGCAUGGAAACAUGGAGGAGAGGAGAGGAAAGAGGAAAUAACCUUUACAGAAAGAAAUGAACAAGUGACCUCAAGGACGAAAGAAUACUCUUCUGCCAAUUCAAGAAAACGAUAUUCAAGAUAACGGAUGAGGUGUUACAGACCCUAGGUGAAUUCAAGUUUGCAUUAUAACCAUCUUUACCAAAGAUCUUUAUCAUGCUACAGACUACAUUUUAAGAACAAUGCCUGAAAUAAAGAUGGAAAGAAAUACUUUAAUACUGUUAUUUCCUCUAAAUAAGAUCACAGAAUCAUUGAAUCAUAAAAGGUUGGGAAAGGACCUCUAAGAUCAUCAGUUCAGCCAUCAGCCAUCACCACCGUGCCCACUUUGGAGGAUGCCAAAGCAGACACGGAACUGAACUGCAGUCUCAGAUUAGGAUACAUCAUGCUUUUAGAAUUAUUAUUCUCUCCUGAUUCACCUUGUUGCAACUGCAAUAAUACCGGUACUCGCAGAAGGGAGAUCAAGAAGAGAUCAUUACAAGUGGGGCAUUUAUUUCUUCUCUGCCAUCAAAGAGAUGAGCCUCUGGACAGCAAAUUUAGUGGUAUUUUAAAGGAUACAGAUGCAUAGCACUGCCCAUCUCUUCUUUCUGCAAUAUAACAGCAGUGGAAAGUUCAGCUGAGAGAACAAACUUUGCAAAGAUAUCUCACUCCUGUAGGACACUGAAAUAGUUGUCUACAUGAUGAUGUGGGACUCAGAGCCAUGCCCUAGAAGAGAAGGGUAUAUACCUUGUCUUUUCUCAUUCUUACAAAGAAAGAUCAAGAUACAUUCAUAUGUGACUUUUGAUAAUUCAAGGAAGAAAACUUCAAAUGCUCAGGUGUUUGAUCUUUAGAUUUUUAUAUCCUACCAAAAGCACAGGAUUUAUAAGCAUUCCUUCAGCCCUAGAUGGACUCUUCUCUACUUUUCAUAUAUUAUUCCAGUAAUGGAGGAAGCCUUUCUUUUGUUGAGAAAACGAAUGUAAAAGAGUAGAAGAUUUACACAAGAAACAAACUUGUAAAGAUGGCAUCCUGGGGUUCCCCAUUUAUUACACUGCAAUUGCUUCUAGAUCAAACCUGUUCAGUUCAGAAUUAAAAGGAUGGGUUUGCUGCUGUCCAUCGCCGAGAGCUCUACAAAAGUAAAGCCAGAUAUUUUCUGGGUCAUACUCUCUAAAAAUAAACCACAAUGGGAAUGUUGAAAAAAAAACAGCUAACUUACAACAUGUGAGUCAGAACUCCAGUCACCUUUCGCUUCUACAGGACUAAGAAAAACCCCUCAAGUGCAGCAAUAGGUUAUUUAAAGACCAAAGUAAAUAGAUCUGACUGCAAGCAGACACAGGAAACAGAUCAAUGUCUCAUGACGAUGAAAUCUGUGCAGUAAGUUUUGACAAGAGCCACAUGCUGGGGUUCAUCCAACAGGGAUCUUUCCACCAGCUAUUUGUUGAAGCCUAUAAAGAUGCAGAUCAGUUCCAGUUGAUGCAGGGAAGUGAUUUUUUUUUCAUACAUCCUAUAAAGUUUUAUAUUUUUGGUGGGGAGAGUAAAGUUGCAUGAAUGCAUAGUAUUUUUGCAGGCAGAUAUAGCCUUAUUCCAAUCCUACCUCACACUUUCAACCUUUUAUCUCUUAGAGUUGCUCCCAUACCAGUCCUAGUUACAUGACUUCCAGUUUGCUUAGAUCAGGGCAGAGACAGGCUAUGUGUGCUUGUCAAACACAAAUACAUGCUAGAACCUGCAGCUAGAGUCCAGGAAAAGGCCUUUGACAUAACAAACAUAUUAUGUAGUUCAAGACCACCACAGCUCCAAGCUGUACUACUGCCAUGACUUCAGAUUGUUGCUGUGAUGCUUUUUAUGGGGAUUUGAUGACAUUAGCUAGAACUAAUGUGAUAUUUUCCUAAGUGAGUGCAGGCAUACUACACUCUGGAGGGGACAACCAACCCUUCAGGCCCUUCCUGUAUUCCACUGUUCUCCAUGAAUAUUAGAGAUGAAAUUUUUGUACACAUUUACAGUAGCAAUCAUGUGAACCCGAGCUCAUUUCCACAAACAAAGCAUGCCCAAUCAACAGUCUCGGUUUUUUUUCCUGCUUUAUGGAUUUUAUUGCAAUGAUUUUGCGGAAGAGGUACAGGUGGGUUUUGCAAUCCUGCUGGGCCCCACAGUAGAGACUCACACAACAAAGGCUUGCAGGUGUUUCCUAUAUCUUUGUGGUUAUUUCUUUCAAACAGCAUCUGUUGAAAUGCAUCUUGCCUCCUGCUUAAAAGAACCCCAUUGCUUGGCAAUGCAGGGUGUUUGCUUUAGCUUUAACUGCCCACCCACACUGAACAUUUUAUGUUACUUAGGUUGACCGGGGGCACAAUGAGAGUCUUUAACAAGCAAGACUUCCCUUCGGGUGGGAGGCUCUGGAGGGGGAAAGGUGACCCAGAGAUGUGGUAACAUUUUUCACCUCCGCUUCUCUUUCCAGUCGGGCAGCCCCGUCAUAGUUGGCACUGACCACACUACCACCUGCCGCGUCCCAGCAGAAAUCUACACAAAACCUGGCUUGUCUUUGGGUAAUUGCACUUGUAAAGUAGAAGCAACUCACUUAAGCGUUACAGGCAGCAUCUUAUUAAGCACCUCAUGAUGCAUAGAAUUAAGACAACUAAAAGAAAAUGUCCAAAAAUGCUUCCAUGCAGUUUGUGACCACAGCUGACAUGUGUCUGGUGACUCUUCCUGGGUGAUGAGUCCAUAGUUCCCAUGGCCCUUUGGAAAACAUCAAAUUUAACUUUAUUUUGCUUCAAUAGUAACUACUAAUGUUGUGUUGACCAAUCAAAAGAGGACAGAUGGUCAGAGCAAGACCUAGAAAAACAGACCCAAACACAUCUAGCAUGAAGUAGAUGUAGGUUAAGCAUUAUUUGGUUCUGAAUUCUCAGCAUGAGCUAUAACUAGCUAUAACUAAAAUUCUCUGGGCAAACUGAUCUAGAUGUGGUGUCCCUGUUCAUUGCAAGGGGAGCUGGACUAAAUGUAGCUCUGUUACAACUCUAAGGAUUCUAUGAUUCCACAAUUAUUCUAAUUCUAGGAGUCAGGUGGUUUUAAUAUUGUAGUGGAAAUGCCGAGUCAUGGCCUGAAGCAGUGAUUGAGCACCUGGUGGGAAGGCAGGGCCAACCCAGGGGAGCUCAGGUGUAUGCAAUGCAGCUGAGUGACUGGAAGGGCUGGAGCCAGGAUCCACCCCUUCCCAGAGGAAGUGUGUUGGCAGCGGAGGCAAGGAUAUCUCCCUGGAGAUUUCUGCUUAUCCCAGUCUUUCCAAAGAGUUGCUCUGUAUCAUUUUUUAACCAAGUUUUGGAUGGAAGAGGUGAAUUAUUGCAGUGCGUACAACUUCAGGCUACACACUCAAUGCUGCCACCCAUAAACACCUUACCUCAUGUUGGAGGACUGGUGACACAAGGCUGUACACAGCAUCAUGCAGGGCUGUGUGAUGACUGAUUCCAGUGAAUGAAAGGUAAUAUUCAUAACCACAGGCUCUUGACCUGGUAGUGACCCACUCACUCUCCUUUUAAGAGGCUUCUAUGAGGGGGGGAACCCACACCAGAGUACUUGUUUGGGUAGUUUUCUAAGAAGCACAGGGACUCCCAUUAGCCUUGAAAGACAUUUUCCUGAGUCUAAGCAAGGUUUCUAUAUUUUUUGUGGACUCAUUAUACCUUUGUAGUUAAAUUAACCAGAAUAGCUUUCAGAUGCCUGUGCAGUCAUUUAGGAACAAUAGCCGCCAUUCUGUCCUGAGAUGCACUAAAACCAUGCAACAGCUCUUUCUGUUGUAUGAAAGCAAAGGUAGUGCUUGAGUGGUCUGGAUGAACGCAGAAACACUUGGAACAAUAUAACCUAGGGGUUACCUCAGUCAUCUUAAACACCACAAAAUCUCUCCUGCAUGGCUGUAAUUAGAAAAACAGCACAAGACAAAGGAGCUAAAGAACUAUCAGUGGGAAAGUUAAUUCAGGUAAAAUCCAAUGAGAGAUUGUGGAACUGAAUUGACUGUAAAGGCAGAUGGUUUAAACUUCACAGAUCUCACUGAUAGAACAACAAACAGAAGACGAAGAAAAACAGUAUGGGAAAUACACAAGUUCACACUGUUGGAAUAUGAAUUGAAAGCAGGUAUCCAAAGGUGGUAGAGUCACUGAAAGGGCAUUUUUACACACAUUCCCCUCAGAGGAAAUCCUAUUGUUAUUUCUGAGUGAGUCAGUCAGGGCUUAUUCCAAAGAAUGAGCACAUGUGUUGCUGAAAGCCUUCCCAGUGAAAUGCAAUGAAGAUGGAGUAAUUAGGGUGAUGGGCACCAGCUGAGGUCUGGGCAGUGCCUUGAUUCUGCCAUGCGAGGCUCUGCCACCCAGCUGCACCCAGCAGCUGCAUGGGCAAGGUGUUUUGUCUCUGGGCUUUAUGCUUUGAUUGAUGUGUGGCAAAGGUCUGUACUUAGCAGAGUGGGAGACAGAAGAGGAAUUAAGCAAAAAAUGUAAGGAUUUGGGGGGCUUUCAAUACAGGUUUGAAAAGGAGAGAAAAGAAAAUGCAGAAAGACAAGAAAAUUCCUCAACAUGUUAGAACAUAACCAAAGAUCUAUAUGAACAGAAUACGCAGCCAUUGCAUGGUUCAAGUCAGCCAGUUUGUUCAGGCUUUGAUAAGAACUAUGCUGCUUCAGUAAUGUGAAAAGCAAAAUGUGUAAUGUCUACUGCUAUUGAAAUGGGUUCCCCCUAAAAGUUCAUGCAUAUUGUUUUUAAUUUGCUCUUGAUUAAUUUUGUCUUAUCUCCCACCUGUCAGCCAUGAAAACCAACUUACUCCAUUGAAGUCCUUUGUAAGUAACUUUGAAGUAACUUUGUGAAGAACAAGUUUCCGAGCAAGCCCUCUCCAUAACAAUGUUACAUUUACAUUGUGUGGCACCACAAACAAUGCUUUGUGCUUUCCCUAUUUUGGAGCUUUGUGAGCAGAAUGUCUGGACCUGCAGAUGUUCACCCUCCUCCUUGAUCCUGAAAGGAGCAAGUUCACACAGUGCUCAGAGUAUCACCAAACGAAGAAGGGAUUGUCUGCAGAGAAGGGGUCUGGACGGAAGAGAAAGGGACAGUAGAAAAUGGGUCUGUUUUGUCAGACUGGAUGUGUUCAAAGAAUCAGCCUGAUCUCAUGUUCCAAGAAUGAAACCCUGGCAUGGAAGUGGCAUAUCUGCUAGUGAAUGUCAACAUUUGAUGUGCAGUCAGAGAGCAAACAGGAUUUCACACUGUACUUUCAUCUGCUGACCUGCCCACUCCAGCUGAGCGUUACACAAGAGAAGACUCUCCCUGGACUAUGAAAUCCAACAAACAUCUCUCAACAGAAAUACAGGCUUGUGGAUCAGAAGUUACGAAUUAUUUCCAGUACAUAAUGUAAGAGACAGAAUCCAUCUUCACAUUGAAUAAUUACUGCCAGAGCUGAAUCAGAAACUGCCAAAGUUGCAGGAAAGAAUCCAACCCUUUUCUACAAAGAUUCAAAGCAAAUAUGAAUUCCCUUCCCUUUCCAUUUUCCUUUCCCUUCCCUUCCACCACAACCCCUUUCACUUCAUUCCCUUUGAAUAACUUACUAUGAAUGAAUGUAGUGAGGGAAUGGUACACAAGGAAUCUUUGGGCAAAUCCUCAGCAGUUUCAAUUGGCUGCAGUAAAGCUACACUCAGUUACAUCCUGAAGAUGCACCACAGCGGAUGUGAAAAGCUCUCUUGGAGAUUAUUCACCUCGUAUGAAUGCAACUGUUCCCAUCAGCUAUCUCAGCUUAAAGAUUUUGGUUAUUGAGUCAGGGGACAGAACAAUGGUGUGGGAUUGAGCCCAAGCAAUUAACUCUUCCCUCAACUUUAUUACUGAAUCCUGAACUGGAAUCCCACAGAGAACCUGUAACAAUCUUAUUCAGAUCAAAGCUCCCACUUUUUAAAUAAUGAGAAGUUUGGAAAACAAAAUCAAACAGCAGCCUAUGAUUCACACACAGAAAUUUUAUGAAAACCACAAAAUCAAAAGGCCCGUAAUUGAGGCCUUUCAACCCAACCAAAUAUUCAUCCCGAGAUAAUUACUGCCAUAAAACCCUCUGCCACAGAGACACCGACUAGAAAACCUUUGAAUUGCACACAGACAUUAAGGAAGGAGCUGGCUGGGAUGUAACCCUGCUGAGACCUGAAAUGGAGGAAAAGAUCUGGGGGGAAACAAGCCUUCAGUGCAAGUCAGUCCUCUGUAAAAACAUGUCGCCAUUGAGAAGACUCAAUAACAAGAAAAGACUGGGAAAGAUUUGCCAGGAGCAAACCAGGUACUCUUAUAAGUAAGAACCAAACAGCACUGUGCGUCACAUGGGUUAAAUGCCAUGAGUAACGUCAUCAAUUGGUAUCUUGAAGAACAGACGAGUCAACAGCCAGCAAUGCAACUGAUUAAAACCAAAAUUAGGUUGUUUCUAAUUCAUGGUGCAUGAAGUGCUACAAAUAAAAUGAGGGCAACUCUUGCAGCAAUGCAAUGCUCAGUCCCUGCCAUAGUCCUGCCUCACAAAUAGUGGUUUGGUUUUAUGGUUGUUGGCCAAUAUCUGAAAUGGUAGAAUUUCCAGACUGGAAGGGAUCCACCAGAACUAUUAAGUCCAACUCCUGUUCAUUCUCAAUGAUUAAGAAGCUUUAGACUGUCAAAUAAGUACAGUUACAAAGUUCUCCAAAGAGAUUACUGAUUAUUAUUGCUAAGGGCUUUCAGAUCAAAUGGCUUUAAGGCAACUAUUAUGGAAAAAUCUGUAUGAAAAGGGCUAUGCUCAACAGCAACUACCUUUGUCAGUACAGACAUAUUUCAUAAUGGUUGCAUGGGUAAUCAAAUCUCUCCACAAACAAAUGCAAUUGUUGAAGUUUUGAAAUAAAACAAUUAUGGCUCUCUUUGUUUUCUGAUCAAGUCAACGAUUUACAUUGAAAGACAGAUAUGCAGUUAAUAUACAAUGAGGCCUUUGUGAUAUUACUAUCAGUAUUCUGCAUAUUAUGCUAGGUUAUAUGGGUAGGUACUGAACUGAUGCAGCCCAGCCCUGUACCCCAGCUUUGUUGCUGGAUCACAACUUAGGCUGAGGGAAGGCAGUUCAUUUCUUAGACCUUUUUAUAAGAUGAAAGCAAAGAAAAGACUGAAUCAGUGAACCCAGGACAGCUUUAGGAAAGAGCUCCCCUGACAUCACCAGUUUACAUCAUCUUUGUUUAUGCAAGCAAUUUAUUAUUCUCCUGGGGUGCAACUUCUGUCAGUCUGAGCUGGCUUCAGACUAGAUUUGCAAGUGAGAGAUUCAGCAAUACUCAUUGCUCAGAGCAUCUCACUGCCUCCUCAAGGUCAUGGGCAAACAAGUACAAAGUGAGCACCACCACAGAAAGAUGAGGUAAAGCAGCCUUUAGAAGCUGAGCAACCUGUUCCAGUGGUUGGGAGAGUAAUUUCAACGUGGGACUCACCAUGGGCUUUCUCACAGCUUUCUACUAUUAGCUGAAGAAUUCUAUCUAGCAAACAAGAUGCUUUGUGUUAAGUGCAGAUUUCCCCAUAGCCACCAACCACUGAAAGCUCCAAGGGGAUACACACCUGGUACAAAGAAACCAUGUCCUUCACUGAGCUGGCUCUCAGAAACACCACAGACUCUCAUCACUAGUAACAAGUAUUAGAUGCUUCUAACAAAAGAAUAAAUCUCUUUCUCUGCUGAUUUGAGCAUGUAGGGGUGGAUUCCUGCUGAACUGCUCUGCAUUCAGAUCUGUCUCAGGUAGGGCUGGAAGUAUCGUUACCUGUCUGCAGGUUGGAUGAGAGGCAGCUCUGGGUGGGUUCUCUCCAAAGAGGAUGGCACCAUGUAGUCAGGAGACACACAGCAGGGUGCAAGAGUUAGGAAGCUAUAAAAACAACAAUAUUCAUUAAUUAAUUAAGCAUAUCUGUUAUCUAAAACACAUAGAUACUUUGGCUGGUUGUGCUUUCAAUGCUUUUGGCUUACUUAAAAAUGCUCAAAUCACACUGAAACUCACAGCCAGCUAUUUGCUGUGCACCAGAAAUGCCCAUUGCAGCAGUGCUGAGGUAUGUAAAUCUCAAAGCUGUCAGAAAGAACUUUUCCUGUUGUAAAUUUUCUGUGCUCCUUUCUUCCUCCCACACACACAGAAUCAGCUUCUGUGAUCCACGGUGCCUCGCAGGAGGGCUGCCAGCAGUUCACCAUAGGUUAUUGGCAUAAGCAUCCUCUGAUCUUCCAGGUCAGUGCAGAAACACUGCUUUCAACACCUGAACACUUGUGAUUUCUGUGCUCAGUAUAUUCUAGUAAGCAAACCCCCCCCCUUUAUUGUAAAUAAUGAAUGAUUAAGAAACAGUUGUUCAAGACAGAAAUAGAGCAAAUUAGACUGGGCUACAGCCAGCCAUCUAACUGUAAGAGAUCUAACUGUCUGCAUUUGAGGCAAGGUAAUGCUUGAAACUGUACUUAUUAUGCACUUUCAAGCAUUUACGCAUCGAGCCAAAGCAGAUUUCAAGCAAGGGUUAGGCUGUGCUAACCCCUAACCCCAUCUCCAACUUCUUAUCGUACUGUAAGAAUCCUGGAUGUCCUCAAUAUCCUCCUUCCCUCCCCGAGCAGCCUGCAGCCACUCAUAAAUCACACCGAAAUCUGCUUCUCCUGCCUGGCUGGUUCCUUAGGGCCGCCCUGCUUCGAGGACAGAAUUAGUGGGAAAAUGCAGCACACCCCUUGGAACGCAUUCAGUCGCUGCAUGCAUGACUGUCCUCAUUCCCAUAGCUCUGCUGCCCUCUCCUGUAUGAACUGGAAACUGACGGUAUGGGAAAUUCUGGGAGGGUUUCAAUGAAAUAUCGCAUUCUUGUGGCUUUCAGCAGGGAUUUGGUUAUACCCUGAGCUGAGGACAGGAGUUGGAGGAUAAGCAAAAGUAAAGUUGGGAACGGGAAGGGAUUGUGAGAGCUUCUGAAUGCUAAGAGGGGAGAGUAAAUAUAAUAACAAUAGAAAAUAGAAAACAGCAGAAUUAUGGAGAAAAACAAACUUAUAUAAAACUUCAUUGAAAAUGAAAACGUGGUGGAAUCACCAAGAGAAGAACGCCCUUCGCCCCUAAUUCUGUGGUGAGGAGUUUGCCUGCAGAGCAGUCAGAAAGGAUAAACAGAUGAUUUCAGUUGAGUUCAAAGAAUGUCUCUUGGCUUUUUGAUGAGACGGUUGUGGCAUACAAUAAUAAUAUAAAAGCUGUAUGUUAGCAAAGUCCUACUGGGAGCAAAAGCUGCUACCAGAAAAUAUCGCAUUCCGGACCGGGUGAUCGCUGACAAAUCGCCUUCCUGUUCUCCUGGUGUUGGAAAGCUGCUUUUUCUUGCCACGCAUCUCAGCUUGGUUUUAAUCAAAACCAGGCAUAAGUUGGGAGAGUGGAAAAAGAAAGCAGAUUGCUGAGGUAAACCGCAGAGCAGAGCUGGAAGAAACUGUCAUAAAGAAAAGGCUUUGGCUUGAUAAGCAUUCAAGAACUACUUUUCUAAAGGGAAGGGAGAAGGAAAACACUUCUUUUUUUUUACAGUUUGAAAAAAUAUCUGUGCCUGCCUUCCUUUCUAAUCUGUAGGGAAAGGGACACAUUUUUCUGCAGUAUAUUUCUGCAGCUCCUAUUGGCAAGUUGUAUAGCAUAGAAACCAGCAAAAACCAGUGCUGAUAACUCAGUGGAAAGUCCUCAGACUGUGGAACUAACACUUACACUUUGGGGGCGACAGGAAUUUAAGCUGCACGGUCACCUGGUGGUUGUCUCUUCCCAACUCAUAACAACUUCUUUUCUUCACAAGGGCUGAGGAGACAGCAAAACAAGAGAAGGCACUGAAAAGGUCAGAGUUCUCUAUUGGAGGAGGCUGGGAGCAUUGAAACUGAUAAAUAAUUUCACUGUGUUCCAAUCUUCCAUUCUGCAUCAAAACCAGAAUCGAUUUCAGAUCUUACCUUCCUGGAAAGUCAAGAAUAAUCUGCUGAAAAGGUCGAUUAGAUAUUCUAUUAAAAGCUCUGUAUCUGUUAAAAUGGCACAGGGUAAACACAAGAGAAAUCCUCUCAUACACGUGAAGAGCAGUCUUAUUUUCACACGCUAUCAGAAAGUCAUAAAUGGAUCAAUGGGAGCAAUACAGCUGUCACAGUAUUACCUGAAAUUGGGUUCCACACUAAAUGAUUCUGCUUGGAUUAUCAGAGCCACGAAGCAUGUUUUUAAGCUUCAUAGAAUCAUUAAGGUUGGAAAGUUCACUCAGAUCAACAAGUCCAACCAUGAACCCACAUCUCUGACCACUCAGAUCAUGUGACAUGUAGGGUAAGACCUCAGCACAAUCAAGACAAGCUUAGUUACCUUUCUCAUCUGAUCUUUCAGACUCAGUACAGAAAUGUUAGGUACCUCCUUUCACUGCAUCAAACAGUUGAUAUGCCGCAUUAAGCAAACUAUACUGCAUUCCAGCACUUCCCAUACUCAGCAGUGUAGGGAAAUUGCGCCUAAUACAAAUGAAGGGUGAUCACUUCCCCCUCUAAAAGCAGCCAUGAGCAACAUUCCAUGUCCAGAAGGCAAAAUAACAAUUACACCAUCAGCAUUCAAUCCAAUGGCAACAGAUGACAUUUCUGCAUUAAAUACAGACACACGGAUUUAGAAAGAUUUUUUUCUUUUAUUACUAAGAUUGCACUUCUAUCUAAAGAAACUUUUAGAUCAAUUCCACGCUGUAUUUUCAUCAUAAAAGUUUCAUUAGGGAAUAGUACAUGGCAUUCUGCACCUUCACACUAUAUAGAAACAUUCAGUAUCAAAAGGCCUUUGCCAGAGACCCAACAAUAAACCAUUCUGUGUAAUCACUGAAGUCUGAGUGUGCUUAUAUUAAGUCUCUGGUGUCCCCCUCCCACACUACUGCUAUUGAAAUCAAGCAGAACUCAGGAGUGCUGUUGUAGCCAAUGCCUGCCUGAAUUUAGCCCACUGAUAAUGACAUUUAAUCUUGCUUAACUUCACUGUGCACCAGCUAAUACUUAAGGCAAAUUUCUUUGUAUACUAUUUUUCCCACGUAAGUAUGUAAGCAUCAUACAUAAGACACUGAACAUCUUUAGUAACGUAUAUAAAAUGUGGGAGAACCUAUGUAAGAUACAUUACCUUAUCUACACAAAACAUUCACUUUUAGAGCAACGAAACAUCUUCAAUUUGUAUAAGAACCAUCAUUAUGGGAAAUUCAAACUUUCCGUGUGUUUUCAGAAAUGCUAUGCUGGAUUUUAAUUAAAAGGUUUACAGAGCUGAAGAGAGGUAACAAAGCUACUGCUCCUAUAAGAAGGAAGGUGGGAUGUGCAUUAACAAACCUUCAAGCAGAAGAAGAAUCAAAGACACAAUUACGUUAAGCAGUAAAGUCAUGAAUUACAUUCAGAUGGGAAACUUCUUACACGAUACAGUUCUUCUGACUACUGCAUACUGAACUUCAUCAGCUCCAACAACUCCCUUUAAAUAAGUAACCUGUUAAUCCAAGACUUAUUUUCGCAUGCCAUCGUCUUCCAUUUGCAAAUGCAGUCUAACCUUAGAUUUUGCAACUGAAGAGUGGAUGCUUUCAGUCAAACAGUAAUAGAUAGAAAAGACACUUGUAAUGUGAGGAACAAUAAUGAAAACAAACACAUCAACACUGAAACACUGUGGGAAGCUGUUUUGAUCCUGCUGAAAUACUGGCACAAAAAUGAAGAGAUGCUGUCAGUAGCAUCCUUAAGUAUAUGGACCACAAGGUGUGCUAUCAUAUAAA
Coturnix japonica (Japanese quail) is the source of this 12018-nucleotide non-coding RNA. Lineage: Eukaryota; Metazoa; Chordata; Aves; Galliformes; Phasianidae. The record is from RefSeq and is a predicted model, not a curated record.